GGCGGCGACGACUACGACGACGAGGAGAGAGGACGGAGGCGGCGCCUGCAGCAGCCGUGGAGCUCAUGCCCGGGGACGGCGGGCUGACCCGGAGAGACGAGUCCGGGGCCCGGGGCAUGUCCCCGGGGCCCCCGUGAGGAGGCGGCGGCGGCGAUGGAGCUCCCGCCGCAGGAGGCAUUGCCCGGGCCGGGCGCGGAUGGCGACGCCGAGGAGGCCCCCGCCGAGGCCCGGCCCCCCAGCCCCGCAUCACCCCCAGCCGACGGUCGCCUCAAGGCUGCGGCCAAGCGCGUCACCUUCCCUUCCGACGAAGACAUCGUGUCCGGAGCAGUGGAGCCCAAAGAUCCCUGGAGACACGCCCAGAACGUGACCGUGGAUGAGGUCGUUGGCGCCUACAAGCAGGCCUGCCAGAAGCUCAACUGCAGGCAGAUCCCCAAGCUCCUCCGGCAGCUCCAGGAGUUCACGGACCUUGGACACCGCAUCGACUGUCUGGACCUGAAAGGUGAGAAGCUUGACUACAAGACGUGCGAGGCCCUGGAGGAGGUCUUCAAGAGGCUGCAGUUCAGGGUUGUGGACCUGGAGCAAACUAACCUUGACGAAGAUGGUGCCUCAGCCCUCUUUGACAUGAUCGAGUACUACGAGUCGGCCACCCACCUCAACAUCUCCUUCAACAAGCACAUCGGCACCCGUGGCUGGCAGGCUGCCGCCCACAUGAUGCGCAAGACGAGCUGCCUGCAGUAUCUGGACGCCCGCAACACGCCGCUGCUGGACCACUCGGCACCCUUCGUGGCUCGUGCCCUGCGCAUCCGCAGCAGCCUAGCCGUGCUGCACCUGGAGAACGCCUGCCUUACGGGCCGGCCCCUCAUGCUGCUCGCCACUGCCCUGAAGAUGAACAUGAAUCUGCGGGAGCUCUACCUGGCCGACAACAAGCUCAACGGCCUGCAGGACUCGGCACAGCUGGGCAACCUGCUCAAGUUCAACUGCUCCCUGCAGAUCCUGGACCUCCGCAACAACCACGUGCUGGACUCAGGCCUGGCCUACAUCUGUGAGGGUCUCAAGGAGCAAAGGAAAGGGCUGGCAACCCUGGUGCUGUGGAACAACCAGCUCACACACACAGGCAUGGCCUUCCUGGGCAUGACACUGCCACACACGCAGAGCCUGGAGACACUGAACCUGGGCCACAACCCCAUUGGGAAUGAGGGCGUGCGGAACCUCAAGAACGGCCUCAUCGGCAACCGCAGCGUGCUGCGCCUGGGCUUGGCCUCCACCAAGCUCACAUGCGAGGGUGCAGUGGCCGUGGCAGAGUUCAUCGCCGAGAGCCCCCGCCUCCUGAGACUGGACCUGCGGGAGAACGAGAUCAAAACCGGUGGACUCAUGGCGCUGUCCUUGGCUCUCAAGGUGAACCACUCCCUGCUGCGCCUGGACCUGGACCGCGAGCCCAAGAAGGAGGCGGUGAAGAGCUUCAUCGAGACACAGAAGGCCCUGCUGGCCGAGAUCCAGAACGGCUGCAAGCGUAACUUCGUGCUGGCGCGGGAGCAGGAGGAGAAGGAGCAGCGGCUGCAGCUGUCAGCCUCCAUGCCCGAGAUCACCGUCACCGAGCCGCAGCCCGGCGAGAGCCCGCCGCCGAGGCCCAGGAGAACGGGGUGCCGGAGCCCACGGAGCCCGGGCCCGACUCGGACUCAGACUCUGAGGGGGACGAUGAGGAGGAGGAGGAGGACGGGCAGCACGAUGAGACCCCCGAUGGCCAGAGCCCCUCUGCUCCCUGCCCCAUCCUGGUGCCCCCCACGGACUCCCGGGGCCUUGGGGACAGGACCCCCUCGGGCAGCCCCACUUCUCCCACAGAACAGCGAAUUUCUGUGUCCAGCCCAGGCCGGGGCCACAAGGUGUUUGUGGUGACCCGGGUGGAGAGUCCACCUGAGAAGGCAGAGCCUCCCGCCUCCCCACCUCCGAACCCCUCCUCCCCAGUCCUCUCCUCUUCCCCUGCCUCCCCCUCCCCCUCCCCACUCGCUUCACCCUCCCAGUCACCAGCUGAGGCCAUCAGCACCCAGGACCCAGGGGCAUCUGAGCCUCAGCCACAGCUGGAGUCGCCUCCAUCAGGGCCACCGCUGCCCAAUGGCCUCAAGCCGGAGUUUGCCCUCGCACUGCCCCCGGAGCCACCCCCGGGGCCUGAGACCAAGGGGGGCAGCUGUGGCCUGGAGCACGAGCUGAGCUGCUCUAAAAAUGAGAAGGAGCUGGAGGAGCUGCUUCUGGAAGCCAGUCAGGAAUCUGGGCAGGAGACACUGUGACACUUUAG
Molecule: RNA transcript, 2290 nt
Organism: Elephantulus edwardii (Cape elephant shrew)
Lineage: Eukaryota; Metazoa; Chordata; Mammalia; Macroscelidea; Macroscelididae
Gene: PPP1R37
Gene name: protein phosphatase 1, regulatory subunit 37
Exons: 13
Source: RefSeq, a predicted model, not a curated record